AACGAACGCUGGCGGCAUGCCUAACACAUGCAAGUCGAACGAGACCUUCGGGUCUAGUGGCGCACGGGUGCGUAACGCGUGGGAACCUGCCCUUAGGUUCGGAAUAACUCCCCGAAAGGGGUGCUAAUACCGGAUAAUGUCUUCGGACCAAAGAUUUAUCGCCUUUGGAUGGGCCCGCGUUGGAUUAGCUAGUUGGUAGGGUAAAAGCCUACCAAGGCGACGAUCCAUAGCUGGUCUGAGAGGAUGAUCAGCCACACUGGGACUGAGACACGGCCCAGACUCCUACGGGAGGCAGCAGUGGGGAAUAUUGGACAAUGGGCGAAAGGCUGAUCCAGCAAUGCCGCGUGAGUGAUGAAGGCCUUAAGGUUGUAAAGCUCUUUUACCCGGGAUGAUAAUGACAGUACCGGGAGAAUAAGCCCCGGCUAACUCCGUA
This 433-nucleotide ribosomal RNA is filed under the name uncultured bacterium. RNAcentral describes it as "partial 16S ribosomal RNA". It matches the Rfam family "Bacterial small subunit ribosomal RNA", at positions 29 to 507 of the family's 1533-position model. The record is from RNAcentral.